AGUAGAGAUGGGGUUUUACCAUGUUGGCCAGGCUGGUCUCAAACUCCUGACCUCAGGUGAUCCACCCACC
Macaca nemestrina (pig-tailed macaque) is the source of this 70-nucleotide microRNA precursor. Lineage: Eukaryota; Metazoa; Chordata; Mammalia; Primates; Cercopithecidae. The record is from Ensembl.